Molecule: long non-coding RNA, 3395 nt
Organism: Bos taurus (domestic cattle)
Lineage: Eukaryota; Metazoa; Chordata; Mammalia; Artiodactyla; Bovidae
Source: Ensembl
GUUUGCAAUGUAUACUAACUAGUAAUGAUUUCAGUUUUAGAAGGAAUUUAUGUCCUUCAGAAUCUUAAUGCUAUAAAUUUGAUACCAAAUAAAUAGCCUUUUGCUAGUGAAUGUUAAUGCCUUUUAAAUUUCCGUGCAUGCAUUAUUUUUUUGGCUUUUUAGUUUUAUAGCUAGAAUACAUUUAUCUUUAUAAAAGUAAGGAUAAAGUAGGUAGGUUAUGUUGCUUGUGGUUCCAAUUUAACAUCAGAAGUUUGAUACUAGACAGAUGUAGGGGCUGAUGGUCUGGUAAGAAGAACUUGAAGCAAAAGUUCAUUAUAGUUUAAGACAGACAAAGUAUUAAAGGCCUGUGCCAAAGUGGAUGAGAGAUGGUAGAGAUUAUAGAGAACCUGGGGCUUCAUUAAGACCUAGCUUGGUCGUAUUGCUGUUAUGAGAACAGACAGUAGUUUCUACCUCUAAAACAUAUUAUAUGCCGUACAUACUUUAACCUAUUUUACAAUUUACAUUUAUUAUGCCCACUGAAACCACAAAACCAAUGUUUAAUUUUACAGUUUAAAGUCACACAUAAGGAAAUGCUUUACAAAAUAGGAUAUUGUUCCUUAAUGAAAAAUAUUACAGUAAAGGUCCCAAACAUCUUAUUUCAAGUGGUUUACCUGAAUAAUAGAGCUGUUGUGGAAUGUAGGCUACAAAACACAGUAAUGCUUUCAAUAGUUGUUUCAGGUUUGAAAUAUGCCAAAGCUGAAGAGACAUUUUAAACAAGACCCGUCUUCGUUUUCCAAGAUCUUUUUUUUUUAAAUUUUCCAACAGCAUUGUAUUCACUGAAAAAAUGCCAUCACUUCUGGAGAACUGAGAGUAAAAAGCAGCUUACAUUUUACUGCUUGUAUACAGCAUGUAAAUCUUCAAUAUUUUACUCUGCCUUGAAAGCAUCUUUCAAGACUUAAAAAUAUCAGUUCUAUACCUAUUUUGGUUUAUUACCUGACUUGACUCACAGACACUAAUAUAGAAGUCAAAUAUCUGUGGCCACUGCCCAAAUCAAAUCCAACAUAUUCCUGCAAUCUGUUUAGUUAUCCACAGUCUAUUUACAAAGCACAUGCAUGAUUUCCUCUGAUGAAUGAUCUUAUUAAAAUGUAAGCAGUAUUUGUCAACUCCUACAUUUAUGUUAUGCUGGAGUGUGCAAUGCAAAAAUACCAUCCAGAGACAAUAUACAUUUCUUAAUCCAAAGUCUAGUUUCACAAAGUCACACAGUAUGAUACUCUAUCUUAGAUAUACUCAGCGUGGGGUGAAAUGUUUCUAAUAUGUUGUGAAUUGUUACAGAAAAGAUGGAGAUAGAGUAGCCAAGUGUACAGACAUAAAAUACUGCAAAACUUGAAAUCCAGCCAAAUAUACACAAAAGGUCCUUUGUGUAUAAGAAACUUGAAACAAGUUUGUUUGAAAGGAAUGCAGAUGCCUUAGUACAUGAUGGAAUGUGACUCAUCUAAAACUGGGCUACAGCAACCUGAUGCUUUUCAAGUUUGGAUGUCACCUUAAAUAUCCUCAAUAUACAUGGAGCUUCUGUCACUAAACCCUGCCAAUCUGAAUGACCAUUAGGUACAAUUUCCCAAACUUUGAUUAUCAAGUUGCGCCCAGCCUUGACAAAAAGACUUAAAGAGCUCUUUCUUGCAAACCAAGAAAUCAUGUAGAAUAAAAUAGUAACUCAGUAAUACUGCAUUUGGCAGUUGGGUCACUGAAAAUGCUAGCACCUUGAUAAAGAUUACAAUUGUUCACUGGAUGUGCCAAAGGAAAAGUAAAAAAAAAAAAAAUCCCUGUUUUAUUUGUAAAUCACAGUUGUCCUCACAGUGUUAGACUUGGAUCAUUCUGCUGUGGCAGUGCCUUAUAGGAAGAUGUGUGCGUGUGUGCUCAGUCAUGCCCGACUCUCUGGCAACCCCUGGACUGUAGCCCACCAGGCUGCUUUGCCCAUGGGAUUUUCCAGGCAAGAAUACUGGAGUGGGUUGCCAUUUUCCUACUCCAGGGGAUCUUCCCAACCCAAGGAUUGAACCCGCAAUAGGAUGAUGGGCCAUUAUUUAUUUUUUUCACUUGACCUCUGGCAGUGCACAUGGGCCAGUUGGUGGAGAUGUGAGAUAUGGACCACAGACAGCAAACUUACUUUUAGUGUGAGAACAUUAAGAGAGUGUAAGUUAAUGAAUAUAUAUAUAUAUAUAUUUCAGUCCUAUUCCAUUUUAAAACCAACAUUUUCUAACAGCACAUUCCUUUAUCUUUUCUACAAAAUCUGCAUUGACAACUAUGAUAUCAUGGCAACAGGAUAGCCAGAUGGAAUACUUUCCUGAUCUGAACACUAUGUAUAUUUUCAUUUUCUGAAUCACUGAUGUAUGGGUUGGUGUUUCAAUAUGUUCUCAUAUAUUAAUUGAAUAGAACAUUCAGUAUGCAGUAUAGACUGAUGUGUUUUAAGAGCUGUAACUUGAAAAGUCAUUUCUGUAGUUCAUGCUAGUGAAAGUGAAAGUGAAACUCACUGUCAUGUCUGACUCUUUGCAAUUCCAUGGACUAUUCAGUCUAUGGAAUUCUCCAGUCCAGAAUACUGGACUGGGUAUUUCCCUUCUCCAGGGGAUCUUCCUAUCCUUGGGAUCAAACCCCAGAUCUCUGGCAUUGCAGGCAGAUUCUUUACCAGCUGAGCUACAAAGGAAGCCCUGUAGUUCAUUCUAACAGGGAGCUAUUAGAAAGACUGUAUUUUUCAGUGGGCUAGUUGAUCUACCCACUUAGUUGGUCUACCUGUUUGACAACCUAAAACUACAGGUUGUUGUCAAAUUAGAAAAAUAAUAGAGAAAACAUACAAGUUCCUUUUCUGUGUGUCUAUAUGAUAGAUCACCUUGACCCUGCACUUGAAUGGCCAUUUGUGUUCUCAAGGUCAUUCAUGUAGAAUAAAAUAGUAACUCAGAGGUUUCUUUGUAACUUUGAAAUGUUAAAAAAUAUAUAUAAGGUGUUUCUAUGACUUCAAGUUUGACUAUUAAUAGAUUAAUAACAGUCACUGAUCAUGCAGAUAAGAUUUCAUACUCAGCCACAAACUAUUAGCAAAAUCCAGCGGUUGUUAAGUUCAGUCUUAUUUCACAGUAAACUCUAAGUUAUAGCACAAGUCCUGAACUUCUUUGGAUCUGGCUGCUGUCUCUCCUAAACCAUUAAAAUGACUUUGUUAAAAAAGGAGCCAAGGGGAGAAACAUCAGAACCAAAGACUGAUCUGGUCAACUGCGUGUUCAAAGGUGCUUUGCCUUACUAUGACCAGAUUGUGAAAUUAUAGUCUGGGGCAAGCUGGUGUGAUCAAAGGUGUCCCUGCUUGUCCCAAAUCCUAUUAUCCCUCCAAAAGAUUAACUUGUAAUAGUAAAACAUCAUAUCAUAUCAAUGGAGAUCCA